UGGCUACUGCCUUCAAAGAAGACGCAGAAAUAAGGGAUUCUCCCAAAGGAGGAGGGAAUCUGGGCUCUAGACAACCAACGAGUCCCAGCAGUAAAUGCGGUCAGUAAGGGAGCGCCUUGCAGCUAUCAAAGGGCGAACAGAACUGAAGGGCAGUGCCUCGGAGAAUCUCAAACAGGUUUCAAGAGGCAGGGAAGGGAAGAGGAGCCAGUAAAGGAGAAAGGACCAGGAGGGAGCAGAGCCUGAAAGCCCACAGAAAGUGCAGAGGCAAGUGGUGACUGUACAAGAGCAGUCUGAAGAGGUUGGAAGCAGAGCCGGACUGUGACUGAGAAGGAACUAACGGUGAGUGAAGUCUCAAGUCGUCUCAAGUCGGGACAGAGCAGCUGCGGAGCCCCCAGCCAAGUCCUGCUUCCGUCAUUAAUGGGACCGCUGUGUCUCCACCUCCCUUGCACUGGAACUUCCCAACAGCUUGCGGAUAAGGUCUUAUUCCCAUUUGGAAAUACAUGAAAACUGAAUUCCAUAUCCAGGGUUAGAGGAGAUUCUCUUUUCCAGAAAUACAUGUUGUUAGUAGAUAUCAAAAUGUAUUUCCUGGCCCAGAAAUCGCUCUUUAAAGAAACUGAGGCAAAAGAAAUCGCCAGAAGUAUGCACGCAGACUUUCCUGCACAGUUGUACCCCGUAGUGGGAAAGAAUAGGGGUUCACCCUGGCCAGGAAGAGACCUGCAGCCACUGCUAAGCCCUGCUUCGGAAUGAAACACUCAAGAAAGGAAAGGGAUUCUCUGCCUCUGGACAGUGCAGACGACAGUACAGAGAGUAUGACUCCAUUAUGUAUGUGUGUGUGUGAACUUCUUGGUUUAUUUUCCCCUAUAUUUUCCAAAAUUUCUAUAAUAAACAAAGACAACUUUUAUAAUGAGACUUAAAAGAAGGUCCUUGUUUGUGGUCCAACAGGCCUAUCUGGGAAAAGGAGGCUGGGAUUCUCCUAAUUCUCCAACCUGCCUUCCACUGCCCUGCGGUUUUUCUUUUGUGCCACAGUCAGCAGAGGAAUAAGAUCUCCCUGGAUGACGCAGCAGUUUUCCGGUUUGCUUACUUUGUGGGGUGCGAGGGGUUGAACCCAGGAGUGCUAAGCACUGAGUUAAAGUCCCAGGUCUUUUUGUAUUUUAUUUUGAGACAGGGUCUUGCUAAAUUGCUGAGGCUGGUCUCCAACUUGCGAUCCUCCUGCCUCAGCCUCCCCAGUCGCUGAGACCACAGGCCUGCGCCACCGCACCCAGCCUCUCCGUUGAGUCCAACAUUCAACUAAAGCAAGCCCUCUAACCCUC
This 1310-nucleotide long non-coding RNA is filed under the name Marmota monax (woodchuck). The record is from RNAcentral. Lineage: Eukaryota; Metazoa; Chordata; Mammalia; Rodentia; Sciuridae.